This 469-nucleotide ribosomal RNA is filed under the name uncultured bacterium. RNAcentral describes it as "partial 16S ribosomal RNA". It matches the Rfam family "Bacterial small subunit ribosomal RNA", at positions 28 to 507 of the family's 1533-position model. The record is from RNAcentral.
GAUGAACGCUGGCGGCGUGCUUAACACAUGCAAGUCGAACGGUGAACACGGAGCUUGCUCUGUGGGAUCAGUGGCGAACGGGUGAGUAACACGUGAGCAACCUGCCCCUGACUCUGGGAUAAGCGCUGGAAACGGCGUCUAAUACUGGAUAUGUGACGUGACCGCAUGGUCUGCGUUUGGAAAGAUUUUUCGGUUGGGGAUGGGCUCGCGGCCUAUCAGCUUGUUGGUGAGGUAAUGGCUCACCAAGGCGUCGACGGGUAGCCGGCCUGAGAGGGUGACCGGCCACACUGGGCCGGAGACACGGCCCAGACUCCUACGGGAGGCAGCAGUGGGGAAUAUUGCACAAUGGGCGCAAGCCUGAUGCAGCAACGCCGCGUGGGGGAUGACGGCCUUCGGGUUGUAAACCUCUUUUAGCAGGGAAGAAGCGAAAGUGACGGUACCUGCAGAAAAAGCGCCGGCUAACUACGUG